Molecule: long non-coding RNA, 661 nt
Filed under: Olea europaea subsp. europaea
Lineage: Eukaryota; Viridiplantae; Streptophyta; Magnoliopsida; Lamiales; Oleaceae
Source: RNAcentral
CGAUCAUAAUUUUCCCUCCUAAUCCUUUCCUAAUUCUGUCCAAACGUUUUAGUUCCUUUGAAUUUGGAUAUGCCCAGCACACACGGUUGGUUUGUUCACAAUGUACCAUAAACACCGCCUUUACACGUCCUUGUACCUUCUCAAAUGCUAACUGGUAAUCGGCCACACCUUAUGUUGUCUACUUGGGUAGUAACCCAAUUUCCUGGUGCACCCAUAUAGCAAAAACGUGUGGCAAACCUCACACACUAACCUCUUCUGCUGUUGAAAGUUGUAUGGGUUCACUCUUUGUUUCAUAAACUUGGUUUUUUUGUAUCUAGGUUGUGCGACAAAUAACAAUCUUGGCGCCAAUCACGUAUCAGAAGCUAUCAAUUCACAAACAAAACAAAGUGCUCUCAAUUUAUGUACUUUUUGAUGUCUAAUAGUAGAAGAGAUUCUUAAAGCUUCAUAUAUUGCACAAAAGAUCACUUGGUUGAUGCACGAAAUGAGUCAUUACCUUGUCAACAAUUCUCGACUCUUCAGUCCAUGAUCAAUAUCUCCAAUGGCAGUACUAUCUUAUGCGAACAUCUACACUUUCCAUCUCAAUCCAGCCUAUAUCUGUCAAGAAUCAGGUGAUUGUUGGUUUCAGAUUGUGGCUACUAUAAACUAGUCUAGUAUAUUCUCA